Molecule: transfer RNA, 72 nt
Filed under: Sphaerodactylus townsendi
Lineage: Eukaryota; Metazoa; Chordata; Lepidosauria; Squamata; Sphaerodactylidae
Description: tRNA-Ala
Source: RNAcentral
GGGGUUGUGGCCCAGUGGUAGAACAUCUGCCGUGCAGCCAGAAGGUCCCAGGUUUGAACCUUGGUAUCUGCA